This 6709-nucleotide long non-coding RNA is filed under the name Sus scrofa (pig). RNAcentral's name for it is "lncRNA (ENSSSCG00000052764.1)". The record is from RNAcentral. Lineage: Eukaryota; Metazoa; Chordata; Mammalia; Artiodactyla; Suidae.
UGUCCUUAUAAAAUAAACACACAGACACACACACAAACAUUCUAGGCUCCAAGAAACGAGAAAUUGUUGAAACUCUAUUCUUCAUGCAAUGCUCUCCCCACCUCCACACAAGAGGCUUCUUUCUUUGUCCUCAUCACAGUUAGAGAUGCAGACACUUUAAAUUAUUGCUCUGUGAUGUGUUUAAUUACUUUGCCCUCAAAUUCCUUCUCUGUAUUAAACAAAAAACACUAAUGCCAAAUUACUUUAUGUAAAGUACCUAAUUACUUUGUGUUAAGUACCAAAAGCUAGGCUGGCAUCUAGUAUGCACUUAAUACAAAUUAGCUCUACCUUUUCCUAGAGGAAUUAUGCUCAUUUCCUCACUUAAUGCUCAAAUAUUUCUAUUAAGUAAUAAUAACUUGGAGAGUAUAAGAUAUCAUAUUCUAUACCUUCUCCUUUCCAUUUCCAGGUAUGAGAUCUAUUUUUAUAAUAUCAGUGACGAAUCUGAUUUAUAAAUGAAAUCGAUGUAGGCUAAUGGGAUCUUUAUCAUUCACUAGAGCCCAAGGCUGGGUACUCACACAGGCCCCCCAGGGUGGCCUUCUACCUCCAACGACUGGACAAUCAAUCAAAGGGCUCUCGAUGGGCAGAAAGAUAACUCUGCUCCUGCUCUAGGAGAGUUCUCAUCUUUACUCCCUGCUGGACUGGGAUCCCCAAAGAAUACGGAGUAGCCCUGAAAGAGAAAUGAAGAGUCCGGCUGGUAAGCUUGCGCUUAGAACAAACCGCUAUUCAGUUACUUCCUUCCAUCUGUCCACGCCUCAUGCCAUUCAUUCAACAAAAAGACUUUGAGACUCUACACACACCAGGUGAAGUUUAAAAAGGAAAGUUUUCUCCUCGACUCCUCUCCUCUCCUCACUCCCCAGGUGCGGUCUAUAUGCCUGUGUAUGUGAAUGUGUGUACAUACAUGUGCAAAAAAGAUGGAUCCAGACACUUUACACGCUCAAGAGUAUAUCACAAGUGUCCUUUUGUAUUAGUAUAUGUUUUGCUUAAUUUCACUGGAUAGCAUUUGAGCUAGAUUUUAUUUCUCAUCUCCAUCCCCCAAACCUCUCCUCCCACUCAAGCUGACACUUUGUCUGUAAUAGUUUUUCUCUCUAUUAGCCUUCUAUUUCCCCUUUGGCCAAAGAAUCAAGUCAUCAUUACCUUAGGGGUAAUUUUGCCAGAGAGAGAAUAUCAAACAGUCAUCUUUGCUAUAUCUUAAGAAUUCUCUUUCUUAAAACUGUGUCUGAAGUUCAACUUCUGUUCUUAGAUUUUUUGCUUCAAUUGUACUCUUGGGGCAAGAAAUCAUAAUGUCAUCCUUCACAAGCAUCUCAGGAUGACUUCCAGGCAGCGGAAUUUGUCAGAAGGGCACAUCUGAAUCCCCCCCUGACUCUCCACUUCUGCUAUGGCCAUAUUUCCACCUUUCCUGUUCGAAGGAUGUGAGUGACACAGAUGUCACUGAGCUGGUCAGUUCAGCUAAGCCUUGAAAUUGGUGCCUGUCCUCACUGCCGCACAGCUGCACCCCGACAACACGGCCUGUUGGUUAGGUUAGGUUCUAGCCCUAACCUCGGCUCCUCAGCUGCAGCUCCACUUCCUUAUUAACGAGGAAAACAAAACGAGAAAUUAGGAAAAGUACUCCCUUUAUUUUUUUUUCUGGGCCUUUGGAGCUGUGCUGAACCAUUCAGGGAAAAAAAAGCCAUGAAAGGGUACUGCUUUCAACUCUGAAAAUAUUCACCUUUUCACACAAGGACUCUGCCCUUGAACUUCAAAACUGUGUCCUGCCUAAAAGACCAAAGGGUUUCCAAGGUAGACUUGGCCUCAUGGUUUCUGAGCACUUUUCCUGUUGAUUUACUAUUCUUAUCUUUACUUUUUUUUUUUUCUUCCUGUGUGAUCUAGAGAAUGGAUUGAACUGAAAUAUAAGGAGCCCUUAUAACAGAUAUUCAGAGGCAUUGAAGAGGGAAACCCUCUGACACAGAUCUGACAUUCUCUCCAUUUAUACGAUAGAGAAAACAAAGUACAUAAAGGCAAGAAGCCUCUGUCAAGCUUGGCUUCCAGCCUGCCCGCCAGUGGGAUAAAACUUAGGCUUUCGGGUUAGUUACAGACGUGGGAGUCUUUUUUUUUUUUUUUGGUUAUUAGCGUUCAAGGAAAUUGUGAGGUUAUUGGAGACAGGAUCAGGCCAUGUAACAUGUGUAGUUCUGUUAAUAAUUGAUAUCCUGAACAUUAAAUAAAGAUUAUUUCUAAAACUAAUACAGCAGAAAUACUACAAUUAUUAGCUUUAAAAAGUCUAACAAAAAAGCAGCAUGAUGGAUGUUAUCAAGCACCAGAAAUAUAUUACUUAAUAUAGUUGAAACGUGAAAACUAUAGAUUCACUAUUGGCAUAAUAUAAUAUUCUCAGAGUGAUGUCUCAUAAUUAAUCAUUCAUUUAAGUCAAGACAUCCUAAUACUGCCUAACUGUAUAAACAUCAACCCAGAGGAUCUAGAAUAAUGCAGAGCUUAUCCAGCCUUAAAAUAUCUAUUCUACCAUGCCAGCUCACAGCUGAGAAGUCUAACACCCCAAAACACUGAAGGUUUGCUAAAUACCUUGGGAAAAUGUAAGAAUUUAUCUGGCAGCAUUGUUCUGACACAUCCCAUCUAAAUAAUCCUGUAAUUCUGUAUAUCCACAUAAAAGUAUAAAUAUACUAAAAUCCUCUAGAAAUGUAACACUGGACUUAAAAAUAAUUACGCUGAUUGGCUGAUCAGCACUGGCACCAUCUCUAGUCCUUAACUACCUUUGUGGUCUUUUUGUCUUUUUUUUUUUUUGUCUUUUCUAUGGCCCCACCCUCGGGAUACAGAGGUUUCCAGGCUAGGGGUCUAAUCUGAGCUGUAGCCACCGGCCUAUGCCACAGCCGCAUCUGCAACCUACGUUACAGCUCACGGCAAUGCUGGAUCUGUAACCCACUGAGUAAGGCCAGGGACUGAACCUGCAACCUCAUGGUUCCUAGUUGGAUUCAUUAACCACUGAGCCAUGAAGGAACUCCACUUUGUGGUCUUUUUUUUUUUUUUGCUCUUGUAGGGCCACAUCCACAGCAUAUGGAAGCUCCCAGGCUAGAGGUUGGAUAGGAGCUUAGCUGCUGGCCCACACCACAGCCAUAGCAACGCCAGAUCUGAGACCUCCACCACAUCUCAUAGCAACACCAGAUUCUUAGCCCACUGAGUGAGGCCAGGGAUUGAACCUGCGUCCUCAUGGAAAAUGGUCAGAUUCGUUACCACUGAGCCACAAUGGGAACUCCUAGUUUUGUGGUCUUAAGCAAGUAUGUCAAUCACAGUGUGGCUUUGUUUACUCAUCUAUGAAAUGGGGUGUCAACUUCUACCUGCAGACUUGAUGCACUGAAUGAAACUAAACUCUGGCUCUUCGGACUCCCUACCAGGUACUCUCCGGCUCCAUUCCAUUCAUGUGGACCCCACGAGGAAGGAAGGCCUUGUGAAGUUCUCUCACCUGACCCGUUUCUACAUGGUCAGUAUCACUAUUAAGCCUGCGACAAGACACACAAUUGUAAACACGCCUAAAUUUAAGCACAGAGGAGCAGGUAGAGAGAGUCGUAUCUCCCACUGAUCACUAUUAGCAUAAUCUAAAAUUAUAAUCUAAAACUGCUGUACUAUCAGGCAAAGUACUAUAUUCUAUCCAUCUUGAAAACUGUGCAAGUGGAAGUGGAAACCUGGAGACAUGGAAUAUAAAACCUUGCUGUACACGAACUAGAUUUAGGAUCUCGAACAAGUCAUGUUUUUCUCACCUUCAAUCUCUAAUUAUGGUAACAGUGGUGUUAUCUGCCUAAUACAACGCCUGGGACAGAACAGACGUUACUUAUGAAAAUAAAAGCCAAAAUUGACUCGCCCUUUCUAUUUACCACUGCAGGAUGCUUUACACGUGUUGUCUCAGCUCAUCUUCACGACAGUCAUAUGAGGUAACCAUGAUUGUUUCCUGAUCUAUAAAAUGGGGAUAAUGAAGCUCAGAAAGGUUGAAUGAUUUCCGCAAGUCACACAGGAGGUCAGGGUACUAAGAUUUAAACUUCUCUCCAAAAUCUGAGCUUUAAUCUAACCAUAAUAUACAUCUGUGACCUACCACAUAAAAUAAAAAGUGUACUUUCUAUGCAACAAGGAUUUGUGUGGGGGGAAAAAGUAUUUAUUUUAUUAAAAAGAACUCCACAAAUGGAAGGAGUUAUUAUUAUUAUUACAUAUAUGUUGGGAUAAAAAAUGAAAAGUGUUUGGUGAGUAAGGUAAAUUCCUAUAUUCCCUAAGCAGUGUUAGAUCUUCCUAAAUUAAGGAAAAGGAUUACUUCUGCUGGUUCCCUGACUGCUAAGAUAAAGAAAAUGCAAAAAUAAAGAAAGUGUAUUAUACUCUUUGCUUUUUUUGGCUUUCUAGGGCCGCAUUUGUGGCAUAUAGAAGUUCCAGGCUAGGGGUCGAAUUGGAGCUGUAGCUGCCGGCAUAUGCCACAGCAACACAACCAUGGCAACACAAGAUCCAGGCCGUGUCUACGACACAGCUCACGGCAAUGCCAGAUCCUAACCCACCGAGCGAGGCCAGGGAUCAAAUUCUCGUCCUCAUGGAUAUUAGUCAGGUUCAUUAAUGCUGAACCACGAUGAGAACUCUUUUUUUUUUUUUUUUUUUUGAAGAAAAUGUAUUAUACUUUCCCUGGUCCUUUAAACAUUUCAGGUAAUUUUUGUAUAAUGCUUAGGAAAUAACUAUAUGCCCUAGGUUCUAUAUGUUUUUUCAUAAAAUCCUCAAUGUUCAAUAUAAUUUUAUUAAAAAGUAAUUGAGUUUUUUAAAUGUGUUAUGCGUGGUGCUAUUUGUUCAUGACACUGAGCAACAAGAGGCACGUGCCUGCCCUGAUGGAGAAUCCAUGUUAUAGAUUAAAAAACCCUCACAGCAAAAGCUGCAAGAUAGUAUUAUCAUCAAUUUACACGUGAAUGUGAAGCUCGGAGAUUUUUUCAUAAUUAUAGACUAAAAAAUGUUGAUAUUAAUAUUCAAAACAUUAUUAUCAGAACUCUCUUUUUCACUCCACAACCCUGUCUAAUCAAGCUAUUGGUCUGGAUUAAAAGCAAGCGAGAGAAAUUGGGGAUUUGGUAGAGGGGGGAAAAAAGAGUAAAAUAAAGCAGAAAACCUUUUAUUGCAAGGCAUCCUGAGCUCAGAAAUACUGACCGCAUGACCGAUAGGUCAUUUCUAUUUGAUGUCAGAUGGAGGUGUUUAAAUUCUCAGUUUCCAGAUUGAUUGAAAAUCAGAUCAUAUCAUACUGUCUGUCAAAUCUCAACUUUCAGCUAUUAUUCUCAUCUUAACUUUUUUUUUAAACUUUCUCCCACAACAAAAGAGAGGUCUGUUCUCUUCCAAUUUCCAACAGCCCUUUUUGGAGAUCGUAAGCAACUGACAAAAGAAACAGACAUUUUUUAUAAUGUGCUUUCCUCCUAAAAACAUGUGCUCUGUGAAGCAGCUCAGGACAAAUCAUCAUACUAUCAUCUCUCAGAUAUUUAAUCAAAGCAUUCAAGGAACUAUUUUCAAUGCUUUCCUGACAUGAGAUGUUUUGGCCAGAUUAUACAAUUUCAGAAAACACUUAAAAAGUAUGGCCAGACGGUAAAAAAUAGUAAGCAUACUGACCACUUUUAUCUAGCUCAAGGAAAAGGACUCUAAGAAAAUCCUUCAUUUUCCACUUUAAAACCUAUCUGUUUUAUAUGGCACUUGCCUUAACUCCAGUUUUGUUUUGGUUUGUUUUGCUGGCAGCUUCCUGGGUCGGGGAUCGAACCGGAGCCACAGCAGUGACAAUGUCAGAUCCUUAAUCCCUAGGCCACCAGGGAACUCCUACGUAGUCUUUUUAUUGGUGAUAUCCACAACUUUUAUUUGACUCAUCUCAAAAUUUAAUAACUAUCUUAUUUUAACAUGUGAGCAUUGGGCGGGAAGGGUGGUUCUUCCCCACAUCAGAAGCUUUGUUUCAUAUACUGGGAGCUCUUCUAGUUUCUCUCUUCCCACCUCCAACUGGGUCCUUCCCUUGUGGAUAAGAGAACACAGCUGAUUUGAGAGUGUGGAAAGAUGACCUGGGUGUAUAGAACUCACCCGCUUGCUCUUUCCUUUCUUCCGUCUAAGCUCAAGCUCCCCACUAAAAUCACGUUUGUACUCGGCCCCUAUGGGACUGGGGUUUGUCCCAGAUCAGAGUUGUGAGGACUGGGUGACAAAAUUGUUUAAUUUUAAGUUUCACUAUUUGAAAGACAUUCUUCCUAGAGAUCCUAUAGCUAUAUUAUUUAAUAUCAGCUUGUAUUUUGUAGCAAAGACUCUACUUUGUCCCUUUAUCCAUAUUAUUCCUUCAUCUUAUAAUUCAGUUCAUACAAAACUGCAACGUGAAAAGGAUUUCCAUAUAUUAGACCACUCAGAAAACCUGAACAGAGAAAUCAGAGGAACAAUUACUCACAAACAGAAUAGGAGUAGUUCCCAUCGUGGUGCAGCAGAAAACUGACUAGGAACCAUGAGGUUGCGGGUGGGACCCCUGGCCUUGCUCUGUGGGUUAAGGAUCCCGUGUUGCUGUGAGCUGUGGUGUAGGUCACAGAUGUGGCUCGGAUCCUGCAUUGCUAUGGCUGUGGCGUAGGCUGGCGGCAACAGCUCAGAUUAGACCCCUAGCCUGGGAACCUCCAUAUGCUGCUGGCGUGGCCCUAAAAAGGACAAAAAAGACAAAAACAAAAAC